UCCCAGGUGGCUCAGUGGUAAAGAAUCUGCCUGCCAGUGCAGGAGACACAGGUUCAAUACCUGGUCUGGGUC
RNAcentral lists this transfer RNA (72 nucleotides) under Bos taurus (domestic cattle). It matches the Rfam family "tRNA". Rfam says of the family: Transfer RNA (tRNA) molecules are approximately 80 nucleotides in length. Their secondary structure includes four short double-helical elements and three loops (D, anti-codon, and T loops). Further hydrogen bonds mediate the characteristic L-shaped molecular structure. tRNAs have two regions of fundamental functional importance: the anti-codon, which is responsible for specific mRNA codon recognition, and the 3' end, to which the tRNAs corresponding amino acid is attached (by aminoacyl-tRNA synthetases). tRNAs cope with the degeneracy of the genetic code in two manners: having more than one tRNA (with a specific anti-codon) for a particular amino acid; and 'wobble' base-pairing, i.e. permitting non-standard base-pairing at the 3rd anti-codon position. The record is from Rfam by way of RNAcentral. Lineage: Eukaryota; Metazoa; Chordata; Mammalia; Artiodactyla; Bovidae. RNAcentral also lists the same sequence under 3 other names.